Molecule: ribosomal RNA, 253 nt
Filed under: uncultured bacterium
Lineage: Bacteria
Description: partial 16S ribosomal RNA
Rfam family: Bacterial small subunit ribosomal RNA
Source: RNAcentral
UACGAGUGCUCCAAGCGUUAUCCGGAAUCAUUGGGCGUAAAGGGUGUGUAGGUGGUUGUGUUAGUCUUCUGUUAAAUUCUUCGGCUUAACCGGGGGCAUGCAGGGGAAACGGCACAACUAGAGGAUGCGAGAGGUACAUGGAACUCGUGGAGUAGGGGUGAAAUCCGUUGAUAUCAUGGGGAACACCGAAAGCGAAGGCAAUGUACUGGCGCACUCCUGACACUGAAACACGAAAGCGUAGGUAGCGAAUGGG